RNAcentral lists this ribosomal RNA (427 nucleotides) under uncultured Halocella sp. Its description in RNAcentral is "bacterial SSU rRNA". It matches the Rfam family "Bacterial small subunit ribosomal RNA", at positions 355 to 774 of the family's 1533-position model. Lineage: Bacteria; Bacillati; Bacillota; Clostridia; Halanaerobiales; Halanaerobiaceae. The record is from RNAcentral.
UGGGGAAUCUUCCGCAAUGGGCGAAAGCCUGACGGAGCAACGCCGCGUGAACGAUGAAGGCCUUCGGGUCGUAAAGUUCUGUCCUCAGGGAAGAACCCUCAUGGGAGGAAAUGCCCAUGAGCUGACGGUACCUGGGAAGGAAGCCCUGGCUAACUACGUGCCAGCAGCCGCGGUAAUACGUAGAGGGCAAGCGUUGUCCGGAAUUACUGGGCGUAAAGGGUACGCAGGCGGAUAUAUAAGUCAAAUGUGAAAGGCACCGGCUCAACCGGUGAGCGGCAUUUGAAACUGUAUAUCUUGAGUUCAGGAGAGGAGAGCGGAAUUCCUGGUGUAGCGGUGGAAUGCGUAGAUAUCAGGAAGAACACCAGUGGCGAAGGCGGCUCUCUGGCCUGAAACUGACGCUCAGGUACGAAAGCUGGGGGAGCGAACG